AUGUCGGGCCAGAGGAUGAGCCUUCUCUCCCAGAUCAAUGACAGAGAGAUGUUCUGGAAUGCUAAGGUUCUGGUGUCCCGCAUGUGGCACUACCGAGGUGGGACCGAUGAAGGUCCCAUUAUCCAUACUGACAUUGUGGUGCUUGACAAAGAGGGAACCCACAUGUAUGGCCGGAUCCCUACUGAGCCAGCUAUCAGCCUGCAAGAUGUCUUGCAGGAAGGCAGUGUUUAUCUAAUGAAGAGAUUCAUGUGCAAACCAUCAAAGCCCACUUACAGGGCUGUUGACAGCCCAUUUAUGAUGCAGUUCACUCGCUUUACUACUGUUGAUCCUGUGGUGGAUGAUGAAGAAGAUUUCCCAUACUGCACUUACAGCCUUAUGUCCUUCUCGGAUAUCCCAAUACCAGGCCCGCACACUCCUCACUUUAUCGACGUGAUUGGCCGAAUUAUUGCUGUCACAGACAUUGUUGUUGUACACUCACAGCAUCAAGCUGGUCCUUCAGAUACCAGGACUGUGGUUCUCCAGGAUCAAAUCGGAAAUGAAAUCAGCCUUGUUCUCUGGGGUGCUCGAGCCCAUGAGUUCGAGGCAGAAGAGGUCCGUGCUGCAAGUGAAUCCACAGCUGUCAUUGCUAUCUUUGUAGGAACACUGCCAAAAGCAUACCGAGGUAUUAAAGGCCUGAGUGGUAGCUCUGCAUGCCGCUGGUACAUUGAUGAGGACCCGCCAGAGAUGAAUGCCUUUCGUGCUAGCCUUGCAGAAGGGCUUCCUGCCAUCAGUGCUCACAUCCCAGGAGAACAAGCGAUUGUUCCAGCACCUGUUCACGAACCUCCUGUUGAACUGACUGUUCAGGAGUUGCUUGCCCUUGACCCAUUUGACAACUUGAAGAAACAGUUUAUCGUCAAGGUUACUAUCACAGGCUUGGGCUCUGACAACCGCUGGUGGUUCCUCUCGUGCCGGAAAUGCCAUAAAACAGCCUACACCUACGGAAGAUACUACGUGUGCACUUUCGGAAGCGAUGGCGCAAAUGAAGCAGAAUUUAUGUUCUUUGAUAGGGCUGCAAAACAAGUUGUUGGCAAGCCACUCAUGACUUUGAUUCACCGCAAGUACCCAGAUGAACACUCCUAUAUCUGCAUUCAAAGGAAAAGGACAGGCUAUUGUGCCUAA
Molecule: ribosomal RNA, 1158 nt
Filed under: Triticum aestivum (bread wheat)
Lineage: Eukaryota; Viridiplantae; Streptophyta; Magnoliopsida; Poales; Poaceae
Description: partial small subunit ribosomal RNA
Source: RNAcentral